GGAAAACACAAGUUGUGAUGAAAGGCUCUAUCAAGGGUUCCAAUUUAGACUGAGUGUUGAAGGACCAUGGAUCAGAGGUUGAGACAUUUAGGCUGAGACUUAUCAUUUGGAGAUAGUCAACAAAGAGGCGGAAGAGAAAGUUUCCAGGUGGAAAGAACAUCACUUGCUAAGGCCUGGGACAAGUGGGAAUGGGAGAAUGUAUUGAGCAGAAUGUUUGCUAUGGUUAUGUCAUUGUGUGCAGUGAGGGGUAGAGGCAGAGGGAAGGACCAGAGAUGCCGAUGAAGAGUGACCAGGAUCACAUCACCAGAGCCUAUUCAACCACAGGCAAGUGUCUUGACUUUACCUGGAGGGGAAUGGAAGAGCUACUGAGUGUUUUAAACAUGAAGGACAUAUGAGCAGAUUGAUAUCUUUGGAAAUUCGCUGUGGCUUCUGUAGUAGAUUGAAGUGUGGGAUGCGUUAGGAGGCCUGGAGACUAGGGAGUAGGAGGCUGUUACAGGAACCCCGGCUAAACAGUUCACUAUAGAGUAAUGCUGGGAGUGUGAGCUCUGGGGCCACAAUGUUUGGGCUUAGUCUUACCUGUGUCACUCAAUAGCUGGGAAGCUCUGAGCCAUUACUUUUCUUCUCUGGCCUUUGUUUUUUGCUUCUGUUAAAUAAGGAUGAUGAUAACAAUGAUGCUUAUCUCAUAGGGUUGCUGUGGGUUUAUCACCAUUUAGUGCUCAGAGCAGUUUGUGGCCCAUUCUGGGACUCUGAUAUUCAUAACUAUAAGAUAAUAAAUUUGUAUUGCUUCAAGUUACUAAAUUGGUGACAAUUUGUUAAGCAGCAAUAAGAAACUAAUACAGGACUUUCUGACGAGGCCUGACAGUUGUAAGCUGUAAAAAUCUGGGAAUCAGGAGAUAUAUAUACGUAUGUUUAGAUGGAGUCUUGCUUUGUCACCAGGCUGGAGUGCAGUGGCGCGAUCUCAGCUCACUGCAACCUCCGCCUCCCAGGUUCAAGUGAUUCUCCUGCCUCAGCCUCCCAAGUAGCUGGGACUACAGGCGCGUACCACCACACCCAGCUAAUUGUUGUAUUUUUAGUAGAGAUGAGGUUUCACCAUGUUGGCCAGGAUGGUCUCAAUCUCUUGACCUCAUGAUCUGCCCACCUUAGCCUCCCAAAGUGCUGGGAUUACAGGCAUGAGCCACCAUGCCCAGCUGGUAGUAUAUUAUAAAAGAAAUGAUAUUAGAUACACUGUAUUUUGUGUAGCCUGUGCCCUCCAAAAAUGCUCAUGGUUGAGGGGCCAGUACAGGUAGGAACUGGCUUUCACUGAUAAGCCCUGUGCCUAGGGAAGAGACUCCUUUUGUAAUUUAUCCAUGUAAAAGGGGCAUCUUUUUCAAAUUUACACAUAGUCACUUUGGGUAGCUAAUGGCAGCCCUGCCUGGCACAAAUUAAGUACUCAAUAAAUGAUAUCUGUUACUAACUGUUGUAUGUGAAAAUUACUGAACCUUUCUAUGCCCAUUUUCUUAUCUGUAAAAUAAUGAUCCCUACAUAAUAAAAUUGGUUAUAAGAAUUAUAUUAAUAUAUGCAAAACACUUAAAAUAGUGCCUGGUACAAAUAAGGCAUGCCAAAAAGACAAAUAGGGGUAGGGAGCAUUCAUUCAUUCAACAAUGUUUGAGAGCCAGCUAUGCAGAAGCACAGGGCUGUAGCUGGGGAGAAAGAGACAGAUAUGUCCCUGUCCUCAUAGGGUAAACAAAAAUUUACCCUGAUAAUGAUUUAAAGCUGUGAUGUGUUAUAAAAAUGAAUUCUAGGAAAUGUAGACAAUGAGGAAUAUUUGAGAAAGUUUAGAAGUAGAAAGAACAAGACUCUGAUUAAAGAAGCUGAUUCCAGAAAGAUUGGAAAGGUUUCAAGAAGGAGGGCAAGGUUGGCCAUGUUGCCCACCUUCAGAGCUAGAACCAGAUUACCUAGCUAACUUUGUCUAUGACUUAAGAAAUGAACUGGGAUAGAAAUUAAAACAUGCAAUAAUAUAUUUAGCAUUUAUUUGUUGCACUGUAAAAUUCCCUAAAGGUUAUAAAGAAAAAAAAUAUACGUAUACAUAUAUAUGUAUAUGUGCAUAUUUCACCGAUUUUUAAGCAUAUUAUAUAACAUGAAAGAUUUCUUACUUAAAAUUAUGAAGUAGCAAAUGAAGUCUGGAUCCUAGCUCAUUACAGAUAUUUCAGGAUUGGAUUUAAUUUAUCAUCUUUUUUCCCUUUUGAACUGGGAACAAUGCCCUGAUGAUCUAUUUGGAGAAGAGAUAUGAUAGUAUCUUACGUGACCUGUGCUUGCUCUAUUCUGUUUGCUGUUUCCUGUUUAAUUCUGAUGGUGUUGUGGAUAAGUGAGAUGACCUUCCCUGGAGCAAUUUAUGAAAGCACUGUUGAAUAGAGAACAGAACAUGGUGGAAUAUUCAUGGGCGACUUCAGUAGUUCAGGAUUACUCUCAGACCGAAUUAUUCUUCGGAGCUUUGCUGAGGGCUUAGAGUACCCUAGGCAAUAUAAACGUUUCUUUGAUAUGCUCCUCAGUAUUUCUUCUUUUUAAAGAAUCCCCAAGAGGAUUUGCACCUGAAACUGUAGCUAGUGCCAUUCUUUUUUGCUCUCCUUUUUCUCCUCCCUUCUUUCUAACAAUUCAAAAUGUUGAUGGUGUUUUUUUGGGGGGAGAGAGAUGGCAAAAAGUGUCCAUUGGAAUUUAUAGGCAUGUAGGAGAAAACUGCUUUCCCAUACAACAUUAUGAUGCCAACACUCAGUUGUCAUUUUGGGGGAUUGUUUUUGAACUGAAGGAAAAUGUGUAGCAGCACUAUUGGAUAAAUCAGCAAUCCUGGCUCACCUGUAUCUUUCAAGGAAAGGAAGGCUUGGUGACAGUGUUGAGGGCUGUGGUAGUCACAAUAACAGCCACUCAAAAAUGUCUCUGGAACCCAUGAAUAUAUUUUGACAAGGGGGGAAUAAGUUCAUCAAUCAACUGAAUAUGA
RNAcentral lists this long non-coding RNA (2971 nucleotides) under Homo sapiens (human). Its description in RNAcentral is "HSALNT0088408". The record is from RNAcentral. Lineage: Eukaryota; Metazoa; Chordata; Mammalia; Primates; Hominidae.